This 511-nucleotide ribosomal RNA is filed under the name Pachyrhamma edwardsii. RNAcentral's name for it is "SSU rRNA". It matches the Rfam family "Eukaryotic small subunit ribosomal RNA", at positions 52 to 546 of the family's 1831-position model. Lineage: Eukaryota; Metazoa; Arthropoda; Insecta; Orthoptera; Rhaphidophoridae. The record is from RNAcentral.
UGCAUGUCUCAGUGCAAGCCACAUUAAGGUGAAACCGCGAAUGGCUCAUUAAAUCAGUUAUGGUUCCUUAGAUUGUACCCACAUUACUUGGAUAACUGUGGUAAUUCUAGAGCUAAUACAUGCAAACAGAGCCCUGACCAGAAAUGGAAAGGGCGCUUUUAUUAGAUCAAAACCAAUCGGUCGGCUCGUCCGGUCCGUUUGCCUUGGUGACUCUGAAUAACUUUUUUCUGAUCGCAUGGUCCUCGUACCGGCGACGCAUCUUUCAAAUGUCUGCCUUAUCAACUUACGAUGGUAGGUUCUGCGCCUACCAUGGUUGUAACGGGUAACGGGGAAUCAGGGUUCGAUUCCGGAGAGGGAGCCUGAGAAACGGCUACCACAUCCAAGGAAGGCAGCAGGCGCGCAAAUUACCCACUCCCGGCACGGGGAGGUAGUGACGAAAAAUAACGAUACGGGACUCAUCCGAGGCCCCGUAAUCGGAAUGAGGACACUUUAAAUCCUUUAACGAGUAUCC